CUGUCUCUCUCUGUCUCAAAAAUAAAUAAAAAAAAAGAAAAGAAAAUGCCAGAAGAAGAGAAUUUCGGACCACAGUGCAGAACCGUUCGGGACGCGGUGCUCCUGCCCCCUGUAAGCCCGGGAGCUGUGCCCGGUGAAGGGCUGACGUUCUCCCUUAAAGAGAACCCCCUUCAAGUGCGAUGGCAAAUUUAAACAUUAGAGCAUGAGGAAUAUUUUUAUUACUACCCCUUGCCAAAUGGAACUCGAUAUAAAAAUUGAUAGGAAGCAAAAGGAAUGAAUAAAAAUAGAAAAGAAAUCACCGAGCUUUGAAAGGAAGUACAUAAGAUGAAAAUGGAAUUAAAUCUACCUUGUCUAGAGGAGAUUACAUAAAAAUGAAGAAAUCGACAGUAAAUUAACAGGUAGCACAUCUACACUCUGUCUUGAGGGAAUAACGAGAUAUUUUUAUUAUCUCCAUGCAGAAGUUCGGUUGAUUCCUACCCACCCCCCCAGCCCCCCACUGGCUCCUGAAAUGAGAGGUUUCGUUUUAUAUAGAAACAAGUGUUGUGCUUUGCCCGACUGCUGGGGAGUCUGAGAUGUGUUUUUGUCUCAACCUCCCUGGAUUUUCUUGGAUGAAAUUUUGUGUGAAGCUGACAGCGAUUGCCUAGGGGUUGGAGUGUGUGUGCACAUGUGUACGUGUGGGUGUGUGUGUUGUUUGGGGUUGCGGGAGAGGAAACAUUUCAGAGUUGAAACCCUCAGAAGUCUGAUAUGGCAGCUGCAGAACCUAAUGAGGAAGCGGAAGACCGGGUCCCUUCUCAGAAGCUUACAAUAGCUUCUGUCGGGUUCACCCAAUAGUCCUGGGAGAUAAGCAGCUCUUGGGACAGAUGGAGAGAAGCAGAGUUGCACCAAGUGCCCCGGCUCUUGAGUGGUGGAACCAGCCCUAGAUACUCACAUGCUGCUCCAUGAACAGCAGCAUGUGAGAUACUCUCACGGCUGAUCCAAUAGCUGCCAUCUUGAAGUCGUUGCCAUUCUUCCUAUGUGUGUGAAUAACAUUUCUGGAUUAAUAAAGACACAAAAAAGUG
This is a long non-coding RNA of Leopardus geoffroyi (Geoffroy's cat), 1058 nucleotides long. RefSeq lists it as uncharacterized. Lineage: Eukaryota; Metazoa; Chordata; Mammalia; Carnivora; Felidae. The record is from RefSeq and is a predicted model, not a curated record. The transcript is spliced from 2 exons.